Small nuclear RNA from Oryctolagus cuniculus (rabbit), 102 nucleotides. The record is from Ensembl. NCBI's taxonomy places the organism in Eukaryota, Metazoa, Chordata, Mammalia, Lagomorpha, Leporidae.
GCUUGCUUUGGCAAAACAUAUACUAAAAUUGAAAUCCUACAGAAAAGAUUAGCAUUGUCCCCGUGCAAUGAUGACACACAGAUAGCUGUAUGUCAACAAUUU